This 316-nucleotide small RNA is filed under the name uncultured bacterium. RNAcentral describes it as "bacterial SSU rRNA". It matches the Rfam family "Bacterial small subunit ribosomal RNA", at positions 56 to 353 of the family's 1533-position model. The record is from RNAcentral.
GUGCCUAGGAGUGAAAGUCGAGCGAACUUGUGGGAGCUUGCUCCCGCAAGUUUGCCGNGGACGGGUGAGAUAACACGUGGGCAACCUGCCCUGUACUCUGGGAUAACUCCGGGAAACCGGGGCUAAUACCGGAUGUUGUUGUCGGAACGCAUGUUCUGAUUACUAAAGCUCCGGCGGUAUAGGAUGGGCCCGCGGUCCAUUAGCUAGUUGGUAGGGUAAUGGCCUACCAAGGCGACGAUGGGUAGCUGGUCUGAGAGGACGAUCAGCCACACUGGGACUGAGACACGGCCCAGACUCCUACGGGAGGCAGCAGUGG